RNAcentral lists this ribosomal RNA (1082 nucleotides) under fungal endophyte. Its description in RNAcentral is "eukaryotic LSU rRNA". The stretch from base 494 to 1082 matches the Rfam family "Eukaryotic large subunit ribosomal RNA", at positions 1 to 602 of the family's 3401-position model. Lineage: Eukaryota; Fungi. The record is from RNAcentral.
CUCUCUUCAAACCUGUGGACCUGUACCUGUUGUAUCCAACGCCGUUCUUUCGGCGGGCCCACCGGCGCUCCGGGCCGACCCUUCGGGGAGUCUCGGCGCGCAGGCGGCCCGCCGGAGGCGGCGCAACCAAACCCUUACUGUAUUUUCAGGCCUCUGUGAUUACAAAACAAAUAAGUCAAAACUUUCAACAAUGGAUCUCUUGGUUCUGGCAUCGAUGAAGAACGCAGCGAAAUGCGAUAAGUAAUGUGAAUUGCAGAAUUCAGCGAAUCAUCGAAUCUUUGAACGCACAUUGCGCCCGCCAGUAUUCUGGCGGGCAUGCCUGUUCGAGCGUCAUUUCAACCCUCAAGCACUGCUUGGUGUUGGGGCCUGCGGCGAGCAAUCGCCGCACCCCCUAAAAUCAGUGGCGGGCCCGCCUGGAUCCCGAGCGUAGUAGCACAUCUCGCUCGCGGAGCCCACGCGCGACACGCCGUAAAACCCCCGAAUUUUACAAGGUUGACCUCGGAUCAGGUAGGAAUACCCGCUGAACUUAAGCAUAUCAAUAAGCGGAGGAAAAGAAACCAACAGGGAUUGCCCCAGUAACGGCGAGUGAAGCGGCAAUAGCUCAAAUUUGAAAUCUGGCCUCGGCCCGAGUUGUAAUUUGCAGAGGAUGCUUUUGGUGCGGUGCCUUCUGAGUCCCCUGGAAUGGGGCGCCAGAGAGGGUGAGAGCCCCGUCUAGUUGGACACCUAGCCUGUGUAAAGCUCCUUCGACGAGUCGAGUAGUUUGGGAAUGCUGCUCAAAAUGGGAGGUAAAUUCCUUCUAAAGCUAAAUACUGGCCAGAGACCGAUAGCGCACAAGUAGAGUGAUCGAAAGAUGAAAAGCACUUUGAAAAGAGAGUCAAAUAGCACGUGAAAUUGUUGAAAGGGAAGCGCUUGUGACCAGACUUGCGCCGGGCUGAUCAUCCAGGGGUUCCCCUGGUGCACUCGGCCCGGCUCAGGCCAGCAUCGGUUUCUGCAGGGGGAUAAAAGCGCCGGGAACGUAGCUCCUCCGGGAGUGUUAUAGCCCGGCGCACAAUACCCUUGCGGGGACCGAGGUCUGCGCCCUG